RNAcentral lists this ribosomal RNA (253 nucleotides) under uncultured bacterium. RNAcentral's name for it is "partial 16S ribosomal RNA". It matches the Rfam family "Bacterial small subunit ribosomal RNA", at positions 524 to 776 of the family's 1533-position model. The record is from RNAcentral.
GACGAUCCGUGCGAACGUUGUUCGGAAUCACUGGGCUUAAAGGGAGCGUAGGCGGGCUGUCAAGUCUAGGGUGAAAUCCCGCGGCUCAACCGUGGAACUGCCUCAGAUACUGACGGCCUCGAGGGAGGUAGGGGCGUGCGGAACUGUGAGUGGAGCGGUGAAAUGCGUUGAUAUUCACAGGAACUCCGGUGGCGAAGGCGGCGCGCUGGACCUCUUCUGACGCUGAGGCUCGAAAGCUAGGGGAGCGAAUGGG